This 1694-nucleotide long non-coding RNA is filed under the name Physcomitrium patens. Its description in RNAcentral is "long non-coding RNA (PPAT_LNC013984)". Lineage: Eukaryota; Viridiplantae; Streptophyta; Bryopsida; Funariales; Funariaceae. The record is from RNAcentral.
UUUUUUGCUAUUUUCCAAUAGAGCCCCCAAAGGUUUGGUGGCUCCCUCAUGUGUGUGGUUGCGGGGUGCUGCGGUUGGUUGCCUUAUUUUCUUUCUCCAUAGUGGUAUUGUUGCGGUUGCUUCCAGUUCGGCGGUGGUUGUCGUUGAAUUGGAAUUAGUCUUGGCGCGAUCACAAUUGCGGUGCUGUUGAAUUCGUACUCAAGAGUGGUUGGAAUCGAGGCUAACAUCAAGAUCCACGGUUGUUCCUUGGCAUUGGUGGCUGGUACAGUGUGUUGGUUGUCUGUUCUCGCUUGAGAUUUGGUGUUGUUGCACUAGUGGUGCGGCGACUGAAGCCGUCAAUGCUGUUUCUUUUUUCUACAUCGACUAUCGUUAGGUGAAGUACUCAUUGGUUCCAUGGUGCAAUAAUUGGAUUCUGUGGUAUUCACGUCGUGGAGUGCGGCGGUGCGAUAUUACCCUGUUCUGUCGACGAGUGCGUUUGAGCUGCGUUGUAUGUUGUAAAAGAGCAUAGUCUGGGUUUUCAAUAAAUCACACCUUCUUCAUUGACUUCUAAUUGCAACAUAGUUUUGGGAUUGAGGACGACGGCGGCAGGGUUCUGCGGUCAACCGCGUGAUCAAAGGCAAGCAAGGGUCGGACUAACCCAGUGGUUUGCCAUCUGGAUACUGCAUAGAAAAUUCAUCGAGGCCAGCUGCAACAUUUCACUUGUGCAACUCUGGUCUCUCACUCCAAUGCAAACUUGUCAACAAAAGGGGUGGAAGACAACCGUAGAGAUGGAGUACUACAGAAGUGCGAUUCCCUUGAGAGUAGAAGACCUUGAUUGAGCUCAAUAGAAGAUGUUGAUUUGCUUAAAAUAGAGUAGGUGGUAGAUUACUGCUAGAGUAGUUUUUUCUUCCCAUACUAUUGUUUUUGCUUGAAAGCAAGGCCGAUAGCUAGAACUCUGCAAGAGACCAAUUUACUGUGAGGAAAGAGAUCCGGUGUAUGCUCCAGUUGUGAAUCAGGUGGGAACUGAUACGUAGCAAGCCGCCAAUUAGGAUAGAGAGUUGUUCUCGGAAGGCAUGGAUUAGCUGUUGCAGACUAAUGUGAUUGACAUGGUUAUCACUUGGCAAGGCUUCCACGCUCAAAAAACUGAUAGCACAUCAGAAAGAGGGUUGCCAGUGACAAUCUUGGAGUGGACAUUGCAAAGUUUCUAUCACAUUGGAUUUGUGAUGAGGGCAUCAAUGCAAAUCAGACGUUGAUUGUAGAAGUGACAUGACUGCAUACUUUGCUACCAAGGGUGAGGUAUCACACUUAUUAUUGUCCCACCAUCAAACCUAUUAAUCGAAUUUACGUGCACAUACUGUUCCUGUGAGUGUGCAAUAGAGGUGUUGAUAUGUUGAGGUGGAAGGAGUGCUUUGAUGAGGCAGAGGUUCUUCUUCAGCGUCUGUUACCAAUUAGAAGAUUGCAAGGAGAAAAUAAGGUUCAUAGAAGAAUUUAGGGUUAAGAAAACAAUUAUUUAGGAUUUGAUAGUGUUAGGCUUUUGAAAUGAAUUACGUUGGAUGAAAUCAAGGAUGAGUUUAGAUCACGUUAGAUGAAAAUUUGCAAAUGAACAUUUGUUAAAAGAGGAUAAAUUCUCAUUUGUGGAUGAAAAAUAUUCAUGGAUGAAAAUUUAUUCACCAAUGAGGAAUUUUUUUAGAUGAACUUUAAUUGUGGAUGACUUU